CUUGUGGGACCCUUCCAACCCAGAAUAUUUUAUGACUCUAUAUAAAGAUCAAGCACAGUGCUAUGUUACCUUACCAGAACCCAUGAAGCCUUUUGAUAAGACAGAGCAAAACAGAAGGAGAGACUUGGCACCUCUGCAUGAUGAAAUCCAUAUACUGGCUGUGGUUACAGGGCUGAGCAAAACACAGAGCAGAUGAAGAGAUACAGGCUCUGUGGGUGAUAGAUUCAUGACAUUUGAGAGUAUGGGGUUAUGCUGCCUGCUGAAGAGUUAAGUGAGUUCUGUUCUCCCCUUUUUCACUUUGCACCUUUUCACACUCAGAUACCUGCUACUGUUGAAAUGGGUAAAUUUCAAACUUGUAACAGAUAAAUUUGAGUGACAAUCUGGGAUGUUUUUCCCAGCA
Long non-coding RNA from Corvus hawaiiensis (hawaiian crow), 400 nucleotides. RefSeq lists it as uncharacterized. NCBI's taxonomy places the organism in Eukaryota, Metazoa, Chordata, Aves, Passeriformes, Corvidae. The record is from RefSeq and is a predicted model, not a curated record. The transcript is spliced from 3 exons.